GGGGAAUAUUGGACAAUGGGCGCAAGCCUGAUCCAGCCAUGCCGCGUGGGUGAAGAAGGCCUUCGGGUUGUAAAGCCCUUUUGUUGGGAAAGAAAAGCAGUCGGUUAAUACCCGAUUGUUCUGACGGUACCCAAAGAAUAAGCACCGGCUAACUUCGUGCCAGCAGCCGCGGUAAUACGAAGGGUGCAAGCGUUACUCGGAAUUACUGGGCGUAAAGCGUGCGUAGGUGGUUUGUUAAGUCUGAUGUGAAAGCCCUGGGCUCAACCUGGGAAUUGCAUUGGAUACUGGCAGGCUAGAGUGCGGUAGAGGGUAGUGGAAUUCCCGGUGUAGCAGUGAAAUGCGUAGAGAUCGGGAGGAACAUCCGUGGCGAAGGCGACUACCUGGACCAGCACUGACACUGAGGCACGAAAGCGUGGGGAGCAAAC
This 425-nucleotide ribosomal RNA is filed under the name uncultured bacterium. RNAcentral's name for it is "bacterial SSU rRNA". It matches the Rfam family "Bacterial small subunit ribosomal RNA", at positions 356 to 773 of the family's 1533-position model. The record is from RNAcentral.